UCAACUCGACCUUGCUUGAUCAACAGCUGGAGUGGAGAUUUCUUCAGAGUCACAGUCAAUGCCUGCAAUCACAGAUUAUGGUCCUUCAGAGGAGACAGAUCAUGAGCAAGACAAAUGCAUAGAUCAUUUCAGAUGGAAGAAAAUGCAACACCGGAUGACAAAACAGGCCUUCACUAUGAAGCCAAAACUUGUCUGGAACUCGAGAAUCUUCUACCGCAGCACCUUCCUGCAGAUAGUAGGAUUCUAGAUCCAUGAUGAUAAAUCACUGGGUGAAAAGUGAAGCAUUAGGCCAGCCAUGCAGGUGCUUUGACUAGCUGUUCCAGGCACCCCAACAAAUAUUUAUGGAGUGCCUUUUCCAAACAAGGCUGAGAGAGCAACAAGCAC
Molecule: long non-coding RNA, 384 nt
Organism: Mastomys coucha (southern multimammate mouse)
Lineage: Eukaryota; Metazoa; Chordata; Mammalia; Rodentia; Muridae
Exons: 3
Source: RefSeq, a predicted model, not a curated record